This 534-nucleotide ribosomal RNA is filed under the name uncultured bacterium. RNAcentral's name for it is "bacterial SSU rRNA". It matches the Rfam family "Bacterial small subunit ribosomal RNA", at positions 767 to 1306 of the family's 1533-position model. The record is from RNAcentral.
AGCUAAUAGAUACCCGGGUAGUCCACGCCCUAAACGAUGCAUAUUUGGUGUGGGCAGUUCAUUCUGUCCGUGCCGGAGCUAACGCGUUAAAUAUGCCGCCUGGGGAGUACAGUCGCAAGGCUGAAACUCAAAGGAAUUGACGGGGGCCCGCACAAGCGGUGGAGCAUGUGGUUCAAUUCGACGCAACGCGAAGAACCUUACCUGGGCUCGAACGGCUGGUCAACGGGAGCGGAAACGUUUCUACCCCGCAAGGGGGUCCGAGUCGAGGUGCUGCAUGGCUGUCGUCAGCUCGUGUCGUGAGAUGUUGGGUUAAGUCCCGCAACGAGCGCAACCCUUGUCCUGUGUUGCCAUCAUUCAGUUGGGAACUCGCAGGAGACCGCCAGGGAUAACCUGGAGGAAGGUGGGGAUGACGUCAAGUCCUCAUGGCCUUUAUGUCCAGGGCUACACACGUGCUACAAUGGACGGUACAAAGCGCAGCGAACUCGCGAGAGGGAGCCAAUCGCAAAAAACCGUUCUCAGUUCGGAUUGCAGGCU